This 1516-nucleotide ribosomal RNA is filed under the name metagenome. RNAcentral's name for it is "bacterial LSU rRNA". It matches the Rfam family "Bacterial large subunit ribosomal RNA", at positions 1364 to 2910 of the family's 2925-position model. The record is from RNAcentral.
UCUAAUCAGCUGUGGGUUAGUCUGGUCCUAAGGCGAACCCGAAAGGGACAGUCGAUGGCUAACGGGUUAAUAUUCCCGUACUACUAAUUACUGUGAUGGGGUGACGGAGUGAUGAAAGCGCCGCGAACUGACGGAAUAGUUCGUUGAAGUACCUACCUAUAGGAUCUGCAGGCAAAUCCACAGAUCUUGGGGAAAUACGAUAGUACUCGGAGUCUUCGGACAAAGAGAUAGUGCGCCUAAGGGCUUCCAAGAAAAACCUCUAAACUUCAGGUAAUUAGUACCAGUACCGUAAACCGACACAGGUAGUUGAGGAGAGAAUCCUAAGGUGCUCGAGAGAUUCAUGGCUAAGGAAUUAGGCAAAAUAGACCUGUAACUUCGGGAGAAAGGUCGCCAGCGCAAGCUGGCCGCAGUGAAGAGGUCCAGGCGACUGUUUAUCAAAAACACAGGGCUCUGCAAAAUCGUAAGAUGAAGUAUAGGGCCUGACACCUGCCCGGUGCUGGAAGGUUAAGAGGAGAUGUUAUCUUCGGAGAAGCAUUGAAUUGAAGCCCCAGUAAACGGCGGCCGUAACAAUAACGGUCCUAAGGUAGCGAAAUUCCUUGUCGGGUAAGUUCCGACCUGCACGAAUGGUGUAACGAUCUGGACACUGUCUCAGCCAUGAGCUCGGUGAAAUUGUAGUAACGGUGAAGAUGCCGUUUACCCGCAGUGGGACGAAAAGACCCUGUGCACCUUUACUAUAGCUUAGUAUUGACCUUGGAUAAAUGAUGUGUAGGAUAGGUUGGAGACUGUGAAGUGGCGUCGCCAGGCGUUGUGGAGUCAUUGUUGAAAUACAACCCUUUGUUUAUCUGAGGCCUAACCCCGUUUUGCGGGGGACAUUGCUUGGUGGGUAGUUUGACUGGGGUGGUCGCCUCCAAAAGAGUAACGGAGGCUUCUAAAGGUUCCCUCAGUACGCUUGGUAACCGUGCGUAGAGUGCAAUGGCAUAAGGGAGCUUGACUGAGAGACAUACAGGUCGAUCAGGUACGAAAGUAGAGCAUAGUGAUCCGGUGGUUCCGCAUGGAAGGGCCAUCGCUCAAAGGAUAAAAGGUACGCCGGGGAUAACAGGCUGAUCUCCCCCAAGAGCUCAUAUCGACGGGGGGGUUUGGCACCUCGAUGUCGGCUCGUCACAUCCUGGGGCUGGAGAAGGUCCCAAGGGUUGGGCUGUUCGCCCAUUAAAGUGGCACGCGAGCUGGGUUCAGAACGUCGUGAGACAGUUCGGUCUCUAUCUACUGUGGGCGUUAGAAAUUUGAGUGGAUCUGAUUCUAGUACGAGAGGACCGAAUUGGACAAACCUCUAGUGUAUCUGUUGUCCCGCCAGGGGCACCGCAGAGUAGCUACGUUUGGAAGGGAUAAGCGCUGAAAGCAUAUAAGCGCGAAACCCACCACAAGAUGAGAUUUCUUUUAAGGAUCGUGGAAGAUGACCACGUUGAUAGGCUAUAGAUGUAAAGGCAGUGAUGUCAUAGUCGAGUAGUACUAAUAAUCC